Molecule: ribosomal RNA, 1077 nt
Filed under: Microbacterium sp.
Lineage: Bacteria; Bacillati; Actinomycetota; Actinomycetes; Micrococcales; Microbacteriaceae
Description: bacterial SSU rRNA
Rfam family: Bacterial small subunit ribosomal RNA
Source: RNAcentral
UGAUGCAGCAACGCCGCGUGAGGGAUGACGGCCUUCGGGUUGUAAACCUCUUUUAGCAGGGAAGAAGCGAAAGUGACGGUACCUGCAGAAAAAGCGCCGGCUAACUACGUGCCAGCAGCCGCGGUAAUACGUAGGGCGCAAGCGUUAUCCGGAAUUAUUGGGCGUAAAGAGCUCGUAGGCGGUUUGUCGCGUCUGCUGUGAAAUCCGGAGGCUCAACCUCCGGCCUGCAGUGGGUACGGGCAGACUAGAGUGCGGUAGGGGAGAUUGGAAUUCCUGGUGUAGCGGUGGAAUGCGCAGAUAUCAGGAGGAACACCGAUGGCGAAGGCAGAUCUCUGGGCCGUAACUGACGCUGAGGAGCGAAAGGGUGGGGAGCAAACAGGCUUAGAUACCCUGGUAGUCCACCCCGUAAACGUUGGGAACUAGUUGUGGGGUCCAUUCCACGGAUUCCGUGACGCAGCUAACGCAUUAAGUUCCCCGCCUGGGGAGUACGGCCGCAAGGCUAAAACUCAAAGGAAUUGACGGGGACCCGCACAAGCGGCGGAGCAUGCGGAUUAAUUCGAUGCAACGCGAAGAACCUUACCAAGGCUUGACAUAUACGAGAACGGGCCAGAAAUGGUCAACUCUUUGGACACUCGUAAACAGGUGGUGCAUGGUUGUCGUCAGCUCGUGUCGUGAGAUGUUGGGUUAAGUCCCGCAACGAGCGCAACCCUCGUUCUAUGUUGCCAGCACGUAAUGGUGGGAACUCAUGGGAUACUGCCGGGGUCAACUCGGAGGAAGGUGGGGAUGACGUCAAAUCAUCAUGCCCCUUAUGUCUUGGGCUUCACGCAUGCUACAAUGGCCGGUACAAAGGGCUGCAAUACCGCGAGGUGGAGCGAAUCCCAAAAAGCCGGUCCCAGUUCGGAUUGAGGUCUGCAACUCGACCUCAUGAAGUCGGAGUCGCUAGUAAUCGCAGAUCAGCAACGCUGCGGUGAAUACGUUCCCGGGUCUUGUACACACCGCCCGUCAAGUCAUGAAAGUCGGUAACACCUGAAGCCGGUGGCCUAACCCUUGUGGAGGGAGCCGUCGAAGGUGGGAUCG